Non-coding RNA from Pelobates cultripes (western spadefoot toad), 240 nucleotides. The record is from the annotation of a GenBank genome assembly. Lineage: Eukaryota; Metazoa; Chordata; Amphibia; Anura; Pelobatidae.
AAGCGUAGCUGACAUUAAGCCAACUCACUAAAUGGAGCCUGUUUAAUUAAUUGGCGAUGCUCAAGGUUGCUGGAAAGUCACAGUUCUUAUAAAAGACACUCAGCAACUGGCCUGACAUCAAGUAAUGGGAGAUGACGUCAGCCUUUAAAGAAAUCCGUAUAUUACAAGGCAUUUCUGUAGAUCGAUGUGUAGUGCUUGUUAUUGAAUGAUUUGUAGGUAAUUUGAUUGUAACCCAUUUAA